UACGUAGGGCGCAAGCGUUGUCCGGAAUUAUUGGGCGUAAGGAGCUCGUAGGCGGCCUGUUGCGUCCGCUGUGAAAUCCCGGGGCUCAACCCCGGGCCUGCAGUGGAUACGGGCUGGCUAGAGGCAGGCAGGGGAGAACGGAAUUCCUGGUGUAGCGGUGAAAUGCGCAGAUAUCAGGAGGAACACCGGUGGCGAAGGCGGUUCUCUGGGCCUGUACUGACGCUGAGGAGCGAAAGCGUGGGGAGCGAACAGG
This 253-nucleotide ribosomal RNA is filed under the name uncultured bacterium. Its description in RNAcentral is "partial 16S ribosomal RNA". It matches the Rfam family "Bacterial small subunit ribosomal RNA", at positions 524 to 776 of the family's 1533-position model. The record is from RNAcentral.